GCUUAGAUCUCAUUGGGAGGUAGGAAGCCUGCAGCAGAGGCGCCAACUGAGCCGUUCAGGCUGGGCCACGGGUCCCAGAUUCCAGAUCCACGGAGACCCAGUCGCCCAGCUGAGCACUUGUUGAGAGGAGGGGCGCUAGCAAGGGGGUUAAAGUGGGGAGCCCUCCCAUAGGUCACUCUCUUCCAAAGGGAACUACCCUGUCUUCUCCUGGCAGGGUUCCGCGCCUCUUGACGGCUGCCGUCCUCUCUGGGAGGCACCCUCCCUGCACAGUGUGUCUCCUGGGAAUAUGGAGGAUUAUAGCUUUUGGAGAAAAAAACUCCCUGGGCUUCCCUUUCCCCAACUGCGUUCCAGAUCCUUUGGCUCCUAUCAACAGAGGGCGACGCCCACCAGAUGGAUUCGACAUGGCUUGGAUUCAAGGACGGACUUGCCAUGUCACUGGAGCAGCAGAGAUGUGGUGCCAACUCCCUGUCUACCUGGUGUUUUCUGUUGUGACCCAGGUGGGCCAUAUAUGGAGGUCCAGCCUUUCUUGAGGCGAAUGCACUGAUAAUCAGGCUUGUUAUGGACUAGAUGCUGGAACUGCUUCACUGCCCAGUGACUUCCCCGCCUUCUUUCUGCACCUUCCCACCCUUUUGGGAAAAUGGAAUGGGGAGCAGCCUUCUCACUCCUAGCUGAGUGAGUCGGAGCAAGUCCCUUUUUCUAUCUGGGCGCCAAGGUUUCCUCCAGUUUGCAGAGCCAUUGUGAGGCACCUUGGGCCCAGGAAGCCCACGGCAAAUGUCCUGCUCUGACUUCAUAGAGAAGAGUGCAGCGCUCAGGAGACC
This 818-nucleotide long non-coding RNA is filed under the name Marmota monax (woodchuck). Lineage: Eukaryota; Metazoa; Chordata; Mammalia; Rodentia; Sciuridae. The record is from RNAcentral.